GUUUGUGACACAGUGGUAGAAUCCUUGCCUAGCAUGCAUGAGGCACUGGGUUCGAUCCUCAGCAACACA
RNAcentral lists this transfer RNA (69 nucleotides) under Marmota monax (woodchuck). Its description in RNAcentral is "tRNA.Ala". The record is from RNAcentral. Lineage: Eukaryota; Metazoa; Chordata; Mammalia; Rodentia; Sciuridae.